Molecule: long non-coding RNA, 2988 nt
Organism: Chelonia mydas (Green sea turtle)
Lineage: Eukaryota; Metazoa; Chordata; Testudines; Cheloniidae
Exons: 5
Source: RefSeq, a predicted model, not a curated record
GGGAGUAGAUAAAAGGGAACAUCUCACUCCAGUCCUGGCUGCUGGAGGAGGAAGAUGGAUGUGUACUGCUGGCUCCUGCUGAGGUACUGUCAGCCUUCCAGAUUACAGAAUCAAGUCUCCCUGACUAGAUUACGAGGGAUUCCUAUCUAUGGAGGCUGAUUGAGAUGUCAAGCCUCUGCCCGGGAGGACAAGCCUGAAGUGGUCUUAGAGCUGUUGCUGUGCAAGGCGAUAGCUGAAAAUUGGAGGGAUUAUUUUUUGAGCAUUUGACUGAAAACUGUCACUGACAGAGGCGUCGUCAUUUUGAGAAAACUGAAGGCUCUUCCUGCAGGUCAAAGAGAAAGCAGACACAUGUCAAGGAGAAAAGCUCUAAAGAAAGCAGGACCACAUACUAGAACAUUCCUCUAGAGAGCACAGCGAAGUCUCUUUCGGUGUCCCAGCACAGCCUGGUUUUGCUGGCAGCGAUGUAAGACAUUCUCUGUGUCGCUCACGGACACCAUCCCCACAGGUCACGCUGCAAGGACUCCAGGGCUGCCACAGGCUCCAUGUUUCUGUGGAUACAUGAGAUCACAGCAAUGAGGAAUGCAGCCAGACUCAUUUCAUCUUACAGCAAAGCUUUCAACUAUCCCUCCUUUAUAUAAAAACUAAUCAACCCCAACUCUGCAAUUAUAACCCUGCAAAGUAAAUAGCUGCCGGGGCCGGGGCCUGUGCCUGCUCCCAUCAGAGUCAGGGGGCAUGCUUCCAUCACCUCCAGUGCGAGCAGGAUUGUACUCCUACUCUGUUAACUAAGGCCAGCAGGAUAUGCCUUGUACAACAGCAAAUAGAAAUGAAUCCACAAGUCUUUCUAAUAGUUUAGCAGUUUAGGCAUUUAUAGGGUCCAGUUCCUACCUUGUGUAUGCUGGUUUUACAUUAGCAUCACUAUUGAUUUCAGUGGGGUUACCCCUGAUUUAUACUGCUGGGAGAGGAGUCUGAGGCCCAAAGGGAUGAUUGAAAAAGCAGUGUUGGUUUCUCUCCUGUUAUCUUCAUAGCACACAAAUUAUGUUAUUGAACCACUAGUUUAACAGUUUUUUAGAAGUCCUAAUCUUUUAUUGUUUGAGGGGGCACUCAAUAAGGAGUUUUAGGAUGAAAAUUUAAGUUUUUUUUUUUUUUAAGGGGGCAAGGUUCAAGGAAGAAUGCAUUUUCAUUAUUUUAAAUGCAACGAAAGCAGUUUUUUGUUUGAAUUUCAAUAUCCUCUUGCUGUGUUCAUAACUCAAACUUUACAGCACUGAGAAUCCAGAAGCUGAAAGUGACCGUACCUGCCAACUUUUGAAUGCUAUAAAUAACAUUUGGAAAGAAAAAUACAACACCCUUAAACGCCAAUAAAAUUCAUUAGUCCUGGUGUGAUUUUUUUGGAGAGACAGAACAAUGUGUGAUAGAUAUCUUGGGAUUGUCCCCAUUAAAUAUUAUUAGUUGGCUUAUAGGAACUGAUUUGAAAUGGACCAGAAAUAAAACCAUUUAACUGACUAUUUUCAUUAUUUAGGAGGAGUAAAAUGCAAAAAGUAAAACCACAUAAAUGAUGGGAAAGUUAGGGUUUUUUUAAUUUUCUGUAAUAAUUCUGGUGUUGCUAUUACUAAUACAGGUCAUGAAAUUUGGUUUUAAUUACAUGAUUCUUAACCUCAUAGUGUCCCUGUGACUCUUGCUUUAACCCCUGAUUCAUGAACUGUUUACACAAAUCUAAAGAAUGUGGUUGUAUGACAGAGAUGGAGGUUAUGGUACAUUAGGUGUGGUAUUGUUCAUGCUGUGUUAUUACUUGCAAAGGACCAAAGGGGAAAAAUGCAACUGUAUUUAAAUAUGAGGCUUUUAACUGCUUUGGGCCCCAAUCCUGCAAAUACUUGCAAACAUGCCAACAUCAGUAAAUAUACACAGGUGAGUAGUCCUAUUGAACUCAGGGAUUACUUACAUGCUUGAAGUUACUCACAUGCAUAAAUGAUUGCAAGAUUGGAGCCUUAGGUUAUCAGCGUACUCUCUUUUAUAUGCCUCUGUGACAAGUGUGUCAUGCAUGUGUGGAAGUUGCCUUACCAAGUUCGGGGGGGUCAGUGCUAACGAGCCAAUUCAUUUAAUGUGGAAGUGGGCUAUUCUCAACAGUUGACAAGGAGGGGUGAAUAACAAGGGAGGAAAAAUCACUUUUGUAGUGCUAAUGAGGCAAAUGUAAUCAAGGUGGCCCAUUUAAAACAGUUGACAAGAAGGUGUGAGUAUCAGCAGGGGGAAAUUAGUUUUUGUAGUGACAGACACCUUAGAAUGCAAUCUGUAAAAGCCAGCCUGCGAGGCAAGGAGCUGCCUACAGUAGCUAAUGGGGAAAUGCUGACAAGAUGGGUGUUUCCAAAACCCCUCCCCUCUCAUGGGGUUAGAUGACUAAUUCCAGGCUGUAGCGAGGCACCUAUCUGUGCUGGCGAUUCCCAACCAAGAACCUCUCUCCUGGAGUCAGUAGAGUAAAGCCCAGAAACUUCAAAUGGGAUCAGGACUAGAACAUGGAAUAUUCUCUCAAGCAAAUUGGUGAAAGCCUUGUUGCUUGGGACAUUUUAAAAGAGUACUGGACAAAACACAGGAGAACACAGUGAAGAGAACAAACUUGCGGCGACCCAGUCUGUCAUGGGAUCAAGGUCUUUAGACACAACACAAUCCCAAGCCAGGCUGAAGCACAGCCAGAUCAUUCAGGAGAGGGGCUUCAUGACAAAGUUCUGACUUGGAAUGCCACUCCAGCUCAUGCAGAAGCAGCAAAGAUUUCCAUCUUUGUACUGUCUUCAGAUGGCUGCACCCUUCACAGAAUAACUUGUGCAUCUAGAAUGCUGCCAUGGGCCUUUGAAGUCCUGCAGACACUGCCACAAAGUCAGAUGUCCUGCAGUCUAAUUAAUUUGAAGUUGACAUUUUAUUUACAGUUACGUGGUAUAGGGUUGCUUUUAUCUGCUCUGUACAAGUAACUUGUCAGUCACUUACAUAAAUCCUUUCUUCACA